This 440-nucleotide ribosomal RNA is filed under the name uncultured bacterium. Its description in RNAcentral is "partial 16S ribosomal RNA". It matches the Rfam family "Bacterial small subunit ribosomal RNA", at positions 338 to 795 of the family's 1533-position model. The record is from RNAcentral.
CCUAUGGGAGGCAGCAGUGGGGAAUAUUGCACAAUGGGGGGAACCCUGAUGCAGCGACGCCGCGUGAGUGAAGAAGUAUUUCGGUAUGUAAAGCUCUAUCAGCAGGGAAGAAGAUGACGGUACCUGACUAAGAAGCCCCGGCUAACUACGUGCCAGCAGCCGCGGUAAUACGGAGGGGGCAAGCGUUAUCCGGAUUUACUGGGUGUAAAGGGAGCGUAGACGGCAGGGCAAGUAUGGAGUGAAAGCCCGGGGGCCAACCCCGGUACUGCUUGGGAAACUGCCAUGCUAGAGUGCUGGAGAGGUAAGCGGAAUUCCUAGUGUAGCGGUGAAAUGCGUAGAUAUUAGGAGGAACACCAGUGGCGAAGGCGGCUUACUGGACAGUAACUGACGUUGAGGCUCGAAAGCGUGGGGAGCAAACAGGAUUAGAUACCCGGGUAGUC